RNAcentral lists this ribosomal RNA (1191 nucleotides) under Triticum aestivum (bread wheat). Its description in RNAcentral is "partial small subunit ribosomal RNA". Lineage: Eukaryota; Viridiplantae; Streptophyta; Magnoliopsida; Poales; Poaceae. The record is from RNAcentral.
AUGCUUGAUUGGUACAAAGCAAGAAAGGAGGAAGUGAGAAUUGCGUUUGAUGAGCUAUGCCCAGGAAAUGCACAAAUGAUUUCUUCAACAAUUCAAAAAGCACUUGCCAAAAGUUGUGCAGAUGGGGUCCGAAGAGCAAUAAAACAAGAGAUGGGGGAUAAUCUUUAUUCGGUUCUUAUUGAUGAAUCUCGUGAUAUAUCAAUAAAAGAACAAAUGGCCUUGGUUGUGAGGUAUAUGAGCAAGGGAGAAGUUAUUGAAAGAUUUUUGGGUAUCAAGCAUGUCAAGGAGACAACAGCAGAAGCACUAAAGAAAGCAUUGGUUGAGGUUCUUGGUAAGAAUGGGCUACUUAUUGCAAAUUUACGAGGGCAAGGGUAUGAUGGAGCAUCUAAUAUGAGGGGAGAGUUCAAUAGUGUUCAAAAACUUGUCCGAGAUGAAAACCCAUAUGCUUUCUAUAUGCAUUGUUUCGCCCAUCGAUUGCAGCUAGUAGUUGUUGUUGUCUCAAGAUGUUGUUCUUCCAUUGAGGAUUUCUUUGAAUAUGUGGCCUUGAUUGUGAACGCCGCUGGUUCGUCUUGCAAGAGGAAGGAUAUAUUGCUUGAUAAGCAACGCAUAAAUCUGUUGGCUAAGUUAGAGAGUGGAGAAAUUUUCUCAGGAAGAGGGAAAAACCAGGAAACAUCAUUGGCUAGACCAGGAGAUACAAGAUGGGGCUCUCAUUAUAAAACACUAGUUCGUAUAGAAUCGAUGUGGGAUGCAGUUAUACAAGUGUUAGCUAUUGUGCAUGAGGAUGAGCGUAAUCCAUCUAGGGCAGGAGGUUUGGUGCAGAUAAUGGAGUCUUUUAGCUUUGUGUUCAUCAUGAAAUUGAUGUUGCAAAUCCUUCGCAUUACAAGUCAGUUGUCACUUCUCCUGCAACGGAAGGAUCAGAAUAUUGUUCAAGCCAUGUCUUUGGUUAUAGAUGUGAGGUCUUCCUUGGCCAACUUGAGGAACCAUGGUUGGGAACCACUCUUUGAAGAUGUCAAGAUCUUUUGUAAUGUUAAUGAUAUUCCGGUUCCAAAUAUGGAUGAAGCUGUACCGAGAUUCGGCCGAUCAAGAAAAGGAGGGAGAAAUAAUGUUACUCAAGAACAUUUUUUUCGUGUUGAUACCUUCUAUGCAGCAAUAGAUGCUAUCACCACAGAGCUGGAUCAUCGCUUUAAUGAC